Long non-coding RNA from Gordionus sp. m RMFG-2023, 946 nucleotides. RefSeq lists it as uncharacterized. Lineage: Eukaryota; Metazoa; Nematomorpha; Gordioida; Chordodea; Parachordodidae. The record is from RefSeq and is a predicted model, not a curated record. The transcript is spliced from 5 exons.
CACUGGGCAACAGAAUAUCUACUUCCUUCUCUUAAUGACGACAAAUCUUAUAAGAGAUUUGUCUUAAGUUUCUUAUGUAUGCACCACUGCUGAUUGUUGGAGUGGUCAUCGAAGGGCUUUUAUUGAACUUACUGCACAUUGGCUGGAUCCGUUAACCCUCAAGAGAAGGUCAGCCGCUUUGGCACUGUGGAGGAUAAUUGGGAGGCAAACAUAUGAUGUUUUGGCCAACAAAAUCAUGGGUAUCCACAAGUUCUAUAAAAUUCAUAAUAAGGUGGUGAAGAUGGUGACUGACAAUGGAACCAACUUUGUCAAGGCAUUUAAAGUUUUUGGAGAAAAUGAAGAAGAUAGUAGUGAGGAUAUGGAAUUGAUAAAUUUGGAUGACAUAUUAUCCGUUGAUGACCCAAUUAUUCCUACUAUCAGCCUACCAAAACAUCAACGUUGUUGUUGCUAUUAUCUUAACCUUAUUGCAACAACAGAUGCGGAGAUGGCAGAUAGUGAUCUCAAUUAUAAACGAAUAUCUAGAUCCACUUUUGCAAAAUGUUUUGCUUUAGUUAAUAAACAAAAUAUGUCUUCAAAAAUUGCUUUCUGAAAAGUUGAAAAGUUUUCAGAAGUAGAACAAGUAUGUGAUCAAAUUGGAUUUGCAAUGUUUAGGCAAGAGGAAUGUUUUUUGUUAAAGAGUAUGCAACAGUUAUGGAACAUUUGGCGAUCUCGUUAAAAAUCUUGGAAUGGGAGGAUAAUAUGGAGCAGGGAUAUCUAACUCCCGUUCUAUCGAUAUUGAUAGAUAAAUUAACGAAAUUUAGCUGCCUGCGGUAUUGUCAGCCCCUUGUAGAUAGUGUUCUUAGAGGUAUUGAUAAAAGAAAGAUUAGUUGCCCAUUUGGGAAAUAUGCAGGAACAACCAUAUGCGGAUACCUUAAAUGAAUGUAUGGAUGACAUUGAUGCUUUUUUU